GCCAUCUGUGCGAAGGCCAUCUAUCAGGGCACCAAGGCCAUCUGUACCAAGGCCAUCUGUCAGGGUACCAAGACCAUCUGUCAGGGUACCAAGGCCAUCUGCCAGGGCACCAAGGCCAUCUGUCAGGCUACUAAGGACUUCUGUCAGUGCACCAAGGACAUCUGUCAGUGCACCAAGGACAUCUGUCAGGGUACUAAGGCCAUCUACGCUCAUUGGCUACAGCCUCUCAUGUCUACACCAAUGCUGACAUACGGGAGGCGCCAGAAAAGAAACUGAGGAAGCUGACCUGUUCUACUCUCUCCCAUGACAACACAUACCUGAGGUCUCUUCCUCAAACCAGCUACUACCUGAUCUUGGGCCUUCAGAACCAGUUGUCUCGGCAUGGUUGUCUGAAGACCAUCCAGGACCAUGAGGACUUCUGUUUCACGGUUAACCACCACAACCACAACCGUGGUCCAGUCCAGCUGCAGAGAACACUACAGGAGAUCAGGAAGAGGAUGAUUGGCAGCCGCUCCACAUCUGAUGUGAUGUCAGCGGGAUGGGGUUGGAGCCAGCAGGAGAUGUUAGUACAGCCCCCUAGAAUUCACGUCACCACCGCGGAGAGAAGACACCUGGACCGGAUUGUCCCUUCAGAGACAGGGAAAAGGCUUAUGCCGGGAGAGAGACUUCCAGAAAGAGGGACUGGCGAGAGACUUCCAGAAAGAGGGCCUGGGGAGAGACUUCCAGAAAGAGGGCCAGGGGAGAGACUUCCAGAAAGAGGGCCAGGGGAGAGACUUCCAGAAAGAGGGGCUGGGGAGAGACUUCCAAAAAAAGGGACUGGCGAGAGACUUCCAGAAAGAGGGUCUGGGGAGAGGCUUCCAGAAAGAGGGUCUGGGGAGAGACUUCCAGAAAGAGGGGCUGCGGAGAACUCUGCAGCCUUCCUCCUCUCACAGCAGCAGGAACAGGACUAUACUGAGCAAAUGUUUCCCAAGGUGAAGGUUCCCAAGUUUGCAACCCUUCAGCCUAGUUUUCUGAAGAACUUGAAGACGGUGAUGCCAACUUUGACGCAGUAUGUAUUUCCGAGUGUUCACUCUAACGAAGAGAAGAAGAGGUGUGCUGGGAACCUUCCUCCUCUCCUUCCUCUCCCUCCUCCUCCUCUGUCCUACCAGGAAUGGGAUAGGAUCAACCCAGAGGAUUCAGAGGUCCCUAGCCUGGGCCUGGAAGGGCUUGGGCUGAGGACCACACCCUCUGCUGGAAACACAGAAAUAUGUAGCAAGACUCCUGAGCCUUUAUCCAUAGAGGAUGUGUGUCAACGCAACCCUUCAGUGGUGAUAGGUUGUGGAUAUAAGCUUUGGAGGAAUUAUGACGAGGAGACAGCCUAUUGGGUAUCUUCUUUUGACGUGAAGGCCACUAGGCUACAACAAUCACCAAUCACCAAUCACCAAUAACAUGAAUAAGAUAAAAGGAUUAUGAGAUGAUGUAUUAUUUUGAGACCAGUUCACUUUGAGACCAGUUCACUUUGAGACCGUUCACUGAGAGACCCGUUCACUGAGAAACCAGUUCACUGAGAGACCAGUUCACUUUGAGACCAGUUCACUGAGAGACCCGUUCACUGAGAGACCAGUUCACUUUGAGACCAGUUCACUGAGAGACCAGUUCACUUUGAGACCAGUUCACUUUGAGACCAGUUCACUUUGAGACCAGUUCAGUUUGAGACCAGUUCAGUUUGAGACCAGUUCACUGAGAGACCAGUUCACUGAGAGACCAGUUCACUUAGAGACCAGUUCACUGAGAGACCAGUUCACCGAGAGACCAGUUCACCGAGAGACCAAUUCACUGAGAGACCAGUUCACUUAGAGACCAGUUCACUUUGAGACCAGUUCACUUAGAGACCAGUUCACUUUGAGUGUGAACAGAGUAUAGCCUACUAAUCUGGAUUCCUAUUUUGUUUCUCUUUGACUAUAACAACAACAACAACAAAACGAUAUAGUUGUUUUUACAAAUAAAAUGUACUAUUAGCAGUAUGUAUUUUACUUAUAGAAUGUAUCAUCAACAAUAUGAGUAAAGAACUAAAGGCAAAUAAUGAAUAGAAAAGCAAUUCUUUAGCUACCAAUUAUUUUUAAGAGAAAUUUAACCAAUGUGUAUUUAGAAUGACA
RNAcentral lists this long non-coding RNA (2135 nucleotides) under Salmo salar (Atlantic salmon). RNAcentral describes it as "lncRNA (ENSSSAG00000054275.2)". Lineage: Eukaryota; Metazoa; Chordata; Actinopteri; Salmoniformes; Salmonidae. The record is from RNAcentral.